AAAAUUUCAUCAUUUUUAGAAACCAGAUACUAAUUUUAAACAAUUAAAAAUGAAUAAAAAAUAACAUAAUUGAACUAAAAUCUAAAAUAAAUCUCAAACCAAUUAAGAAAUUGAUGAGAAUAUUUUUCAUAGAUUCAUCACCAUAACCAGAAAAGAGAAAAUUCACAAAAAAUAUUAAUUGAACUCAUAAAAAAAAUUAAAAAUCAUUUUCAGAAACUAGAAUUAAAAAGGGAAAUAAUGC
This 241-nucleotide long non-coding RNA is filed under the name Lathyrus oleraceus (garden pea). Its description in RNAcentral is "Pisum sativum (pea) long non-coding RNA (PSAT_LNC025164)". Lineage: Eukaryota; Viridiplantae; Streptophyta; Magnoliopsida; Fabales; Fabaceae. The record is from RNAcentral.